CCUACGGGAGGCAGCAGUAGGGAAUCUUCCGCAAUGGACGAAAAUCUGACGGAGCAACGCCGCGUGAGUGAUGAAGGCCUUCGGGUCGUAAAACUCUGUUGUUAGGGAAGAACAAGUACCGGAGUAACUGCCGGUACCUUGACGGUACCUAACCAGAAAGCCACGGCUAACUACGUGCCAGCAGCCGCGGUAAU
Molecule: ribosomal RNA, 194 nt
Filed under: uncultured bacterium
Lineage: Bacteria
Description: partial 16S ribosomal RNA
Rfam family: Bacterial small subunit ribosomal RNA
Source: RNAcentral